This is a long non-coding RNA of Centrocercus urophasianus (Greater sage-grouse), 3352 nucleotides long. RefSeq lists it as uncharacterized. The transcript is spliced from 2 exons. Lineage: Eukaryota; Metazoa; Chordata; Aves; Galliformes; Phasianidae. The record is from RefSeq and is a predicted model, not a curated record.
GGUGGAUGGUUGGACUGGAUGAUCUUGGAGGUCUUUUCCAACAUUGGUGAUUCUAUGAUUCCAAGAUGGUGCUACCUGGGCAUGCAUAACAGACUCCCCUUAAGCCUGGGGAGCAGGAUCAGGAGUGAGGCUGCAAUUCACACUAAACGAAAGAAAAUCCAUGGCCCUGCUUUCCCUGUCCCAUUUCUGCCCUCCACUGUAGCUACUGCAGGAGUGCCUGUUCCUUGCACCUUGCAUCCAAGGUAUUAGAAUUCCUAUUAACCCUUCAAUCAGGAGCCAAUUAAAAAAAGAUGGUCACCAAUUUUUAAUCAUUUUGUGAUGGUUUAAUAAGCCUCCUGGAAUCUCUCUUCUGUCCAUACCGCAGCUCUCUGCUGCAUAAACUCACUGGUUUGUUGCUGUGCAGUUUCUCACAGGCUCCCAGGUGGUGAUAAAAGGAUAUGAAAAUAACAUCAAGUGGGGAAGAAAAGACAUUGACCCCAAAGACUCUGUUAUGACGGAUGGUGGUAAUAUGCAACAAUUUGGGGAACUUCUGUGUUUUUGCCUUGCCCAAAAUUCGGAGUAUAUGUUCAGGACUGCCUGGAGAAUUUCAGCUGCUGGGGGGCACUCCACCUUGAACGCUGUUGUGCUCUUAAAGCUAUAUCCCUGCACUGGAGCAGAGCUGCAUGGCCAUUUUGAGCAUGGAAUUAGUUAAGAUACACAGUUUGUACCUUUUUACUAUGAAACUGGGAUUUUUAGCUUGUUUUUCUGGUUACUGGUAUUGAUGGUGUUCACCCAUGUAAUUGCCAAGCACUUUUUCUAGCCAUGAAGAGCAAGCAGUCCAAUAAUUUAAUAAUGAUAAUUUAAAAAAAAAAAAAACACAAUCUAACAAAACUAAUCCAAAAGAGGGUCUAUUUUUACUACAGCAUCCACAUCUAGACACCAGCAUUCACUGUCAUUGAUAACAGAGGAGAAAAAAGUCUCCUAGACUUAGGAAAUGGUUUUAAAUUUUUAUGAGCUCUCUGUAAUGCCAUCCUCAGCUACUCUAGCUAAGAUGAAAUUGCAAGGUUUACCCACUGAUGUGCUUUGAGAAAUAAAUCAGAAACUAAUUGUCUGACAUUAGAGAAGAACUUGUUUUUACCUCCUCCCACCCUACUCAACAUAACUAUUUCUGUUUCCUUUAUACUGUGUAGUCAGUGUCAAUGCAUGUGAUGAGAGCAUAUAUAUUUAUUAUUACACUUGGACUGAUCUUCAUUUGACCCAUGAAAUUGAUACGCUUCCUGUGUGAGAGUUAGUCAGAGACAUACUUUAAUUCUUAUUAAACUAAACCUUUACCAGGGGGCAGGGAGAUUUCAAGGGAGUCUCUGCCAUGUAAAGAAAUCAUGCUGUCUUUCCAUAUAUGAAUCUAAGCACAGUCGGACCUCAGAUUGUAUAGAGCAAGAGAUGUGAAAUGAGUUAUGAGUACUGAGAGUUUGAAUAAUUGACGGAAAUUUCGAUGCAAUUAAUAAAAAGUAAAGGAUGUGAACUCGCUGAUAAAUUAGGGUCUGUGGAUUGUUAUGGCAUGGUAAAUCCAAACGUCAGCCACCCCCCCAUUUUUCUCUGCUGUAAAGCAGCAAAGCCCGUGCUUCUAAUGCAGAUUUGUUAUGCUCUGGCAUAUCUAAUUUCUUAAACCAGAAAGACAAAGAUGACUGAUGCCAAAAAGUGGGAGGGUACAUUUUAAAAAUCCCACUGCUAUUUUAAACAUGGGCUAAAAUGAGACUAUUGUGUGGUUAAAAUUUAUCUAGCAUCCUCUCUGGUUGAGGCACAUCUUGUCAUAUAGAGCAAUGCUGUUAAAGUAGUUCAUGGGAAUGAUGUGCAUGACUCCUCUUGCUAAUGGGAACUGUGUGCAUAGAACAAUUUAGCUGUUAGUGCUCUGAGGAGAACUUGAAUAGCAGGGGCUUGGAGAGGAACAAAACAAAAAGAAAGCUGCUAAGGGCAUUCUGAAAAUACACUCGCUAUUCUUUUUCUUCCCAAGCAUUGCUGCGGUAAGCAACCGCUUCAAAAUUCCUCUUUAAACAAGUGACAUGAAAAGGAAAAGAGCAUGACUUCGUAUCAACAGCCAUUCAGAACAGAGCAGGUCCCAAACUAACCUUGGGGGUAAGAAAGGCUGGUGGGGGGCAGGGUGCCAUGCGGCCGUUCCCUUUGGUUUGUUUCGCUUGGUUUGCCAGUAGUUGAGAGAAAGCAUCCCUCAUGGGAGCGUUCUGACCCAAAUAUCUGGGAUGCUGUACAGAACACCGGCGGGCCAGGAUUUCAGAAAUACAACUGCCUACAGUAAGGCACCCAGCAAAGCACUUGAAUAUUCCACCCGGCUCCCCACCCCCAGGCGAUGGGAUUGCUUAUGCAUUUAAGGCUAGAGUGCUUAAGAGCUCCCUUAUGUAUAGGUUGGAGAACUUAGACAUGGGUGCAGACCCGACCAUGAGCUGUCUGCUAUUGUAGAGCUUGGCCAGAGGGAGGCUUUCUGCAUUUGAUUGUUGGUUUUUUUUUUAAUCACUUUGCUUGUUGAGGAUUUUCCCAACCACGCUCUAUGCAGCAAGCUGCCUUUAAAUGCACUGCAAAGCACGUUUCUGAACCUUUCCUGAACCUUUUAAUUGUGGGGUAGGCUGCAUAUACACAGGUUGUAACAGGGCUGUGUGCAGCUCCUAAGGUUAUGGCAAACACCUAGCAGACUAGAGAGCAGCUCCUUUUAAAGGCUCAGCUAAUUCCCAACUCUCCAUUAUUUCCCAGUCAAGCCUACAAAAACCUGGGAUAUUAAAAAUGCCAAAGAACAUUAUGUAAAUCACCAUCCUUUCCUAAAUGAUGCCAUAUACAUUUCUCAAUGAAUGAAAAGUUGGCUUCAGGUACCGGGAUGGGAUACAGAAAUCCUGACUCCAAUUCCUGCUCCCACCAAAAGAUGUAUGUAUGGCCCUGGACAAGCUACUGACCAUUCAGUUCCAAAUCUGUAAAAGGGCAAUAUACUUUUCUGCCUUUUGAGUCAUGAGAGCCUAACAUCCAUUAGUAAUUGUGAGACGCUCAAUUGUUAAUUCUUAAGUGCUUAGAUACAUCAGUAGAAGAAUUUUCCAGAGGUAUUACUGAACAGAUCUGUGCAUUCUUUUUGGUAAUAUUCGUUAUAAUGUGUUGCUGUACAUCUUUAUUCCCAAUGUUUUAUUUAUUACAAAGUACUAAAGGUUGGGUUUCCUUACAGGAAUGGAUUGACUUGGAGGAGUUCCACAGGGAGUGUAAAUGUUUUCUAUGUCAGAAGAUUAAUAACAGGAAAAAGAAAAAGCUAAGGUUUCCAUUUGAUUGAGACAAUAAAUAAAUGCCUUCACUUUGGCUCCUGGUCUACCAUCUAGCUAUAAGA